Molecule: ribosomal RNA, 274 nt
Filed under: Clostridioides difficile
Lineage: Bacteria; Bacillati; Bacillota; Clostridia; Peptostreptococcales; Peptostreptococcaceae
Description: partial 23S ribosomal RNA
Rfam family: Bacterial large subunit ribosomal RNA
Source: RNAcentral
UGGUCAAGUUAUUAAGGGUGCAGGGCGGAUGCCUUGGCACUAGGAGCCGAUGAAGGACGUGAUAAGCUGCGAUAAGCUUCGGGGAGUUGCACGUAAACUUUGAUCCGAAGAUUUCCGAAUGAGGAAACUCACUUAGAGUAAUGUCUAAGUAUCAUUAAGUGAAUACAUAGCUUAAGGAGGGGAACUCAGGGAACUGAAACAUCUAAGUACCUGAAGGAAGAGAAAGAAAUUCGAUUCCGUAAGUAGCGGCGAGCGAACGCGGAUUAGCCCAAAC